Molecule: ribosomal RNA, 2921 nt
Filed under: Staphylococcus aureus
Lineage: Bacteria; Bacillati; Bacillota; Bacilli; Caryophanales; Staphylococcaceae
Description: bacterial LSU rRNA
Rfam family: Bacterial large subunit ribosomal RNA
Source: RNAcentral
UUAAGUUAUUAAGGGCGCACGGUGGAUGCCUUGGCACUAGAAGCCGAUGAAGGACGUUACUAACGACGAUAUGCUUUGGGGAGCUGUAAGUAAGCUUUGAUCCAGAGAUUUCCGAAUGGGGAAACCCAGCAUGAGUUAUGUCAUGUUAUCGAUAUGUGAAUACAUAGCAUAUCAGAAGGCACACCCGGAGAACUGAAACAUCUUAGUACCCGGAGGAAGAGAAAGAAAAUUCGAUUCCCUUAGUAGCGGCGAGCGAAACGGGAAGAGCCCAAACCAACAAGCUUGCUUGUUGGGGUUGUAGGACACUCUAUACGGAGUUACAAAGGACGACAUUAGACGAAUCAUCUGGAAAGAUGAAUCAAAGAAGGUAAUAAUCCUGUAGUCGAAAAUGUUGUCUCUCUUGAGUGGAUCCUGAGUACGACGGAGCACGUGAAAUUCCGUCGGAAUCUGGGAGGACCAUCUCCUAAGGCUAAAUACUCUCUAGUGACCGAUAGUGAACCAGUACCGUGAGGGAAAGGUGAAAAGCACCCCGGAAGGGGAGUGAAAUAGAACCUGAAACCGUGUGCUUACAAGUAGUCAGAGCCCGUUAAUGGGUGAUGGCGUACCUUUUGUAGAAUGAACCGGCGAGUUACGAUUUGAUGCAAGGUUAAGCAGUAAAUGUGGAGCCGUAGCGAAAGCGAGUCUGAAUAGGGCGUUUAGUAUUUGGUCGUAGACCCGAAACCAGGUGAUCUACCCUUGGUCAGGUUGAAGUUCAGGUAACACUGAAUGGAGGACCGAACCGACUUACGUUGAAAAGUGAGCGGAUGAACUGAGGGUAGCGGAGAAAUUCCAAUCGAACCUGGAGAUAGCUGGUUCUCUCCGAAAUAGCUUUAGGGCUAGCCUCAAGUGAUGAUUAUUGGAGGUAGAGCACUGUUUGGACGAGGGGCCCCUCUCGGGUUACCGAAUUCAGACAAACUCCGAAUGCCAAUUAAUUUAACUUGGGAGUCAGAACAUGGGUGAUAAGGUCCGUGUUCGAAAGGGAAACAGCCCAGACCACCAGCUAAGGUCCCAAAAUAUAUGUUAAGUGGAAAAGGAUGUGGCGUUGCCCAGACAACUAGGAUGUUGGCUUAGAAGCAGCCAUCAUUUAAAGAGUGCGUAAUAGCUCACUAGUCGAGUGACACUGCGCCGAAAAUGUACCGGGGCUAAACAUAUUACCGAAGCUGUGGAUUGUCCUUUGGACAAUGGUAGGAGAGCGUUCUAAGGGCGUUGAAGCAUGAUCGUAAGGACAUGUGGAGCGCUUAGAAGUGAGAAUGCCGGUGUGAGUAGCGAAAGACGGGUGAGAAUCCCGUCCACCGAUUGACUAAGGUUUCCAGAGGAAGGCUCGUCCGCUCUGGGUUAGUCGGGUCCUAAGCUGAGGCCGACAGGCGUAGGCGAUGGAUAACAGGUUGAUAUUCCUGUACCACCUAUAAUCGUUUUAAUCGAUGGGGGGACGCAGUAGGAUAGGCGAAGCGUGCGAUUGGAUUGCACGUCUAAGCAGUAAGGCUGAGUAUUAGGCAAAUCCGGUACUCGUUAAGGCUGAGCUGUGAUGGGGAGAAGACAUUGUGUCUUCGAGUCGUUGAUUUCACACUGCCGAGAAAAGCCUCUAGAUAGAAAAUAGGUGCCCGUACCGCAAACCGACACAGGUAGUCAAGAUGAGAAUUCUAAGGUGAGCGAGCGAACUCUCGUUAAGGAACUCGGCAAAAUGACCCCGUAACUUCGGGAGAAGGGGUGCUCUUUAGGGUUAACGCCCAGAAGAGCCGCAGUGAAUAGGCCCAAGCGACUGUUUAUCAAAAACACAGGUCUCUGCUAAACCGUAAGGUGAUGUAUAGGGGCUGACGCCUGCCCGGUGCUGGAAGGUUAAGAGGAGUGGUUAGCUUCUGCGAAGCUACGAAUCGAAGCCCCAGUAAACGGCGGCCGUAACUAUAACGGUCCUAAGGUAGCGAAAUUCCUUGUCGGGUAAGUUCCGACCCGCACGAAAGGCGUAACGAUUUGGGCACUGUCUCAACGAGAGACUCGGUGAAAUCAUAGUACCUGUGAAGAUGCAGGUUACCCGCGACAGGACGGAAAGACCCCGUGGAGCUUUACUGUAGCCUGAUAUUGAAAUUCGGCACAGCUUGUACAGGAUAGGUAGGAGCCUUUGAAACGUGAGCGCUAGCUUACGUGGAGGCGCUGGUGGGAUACUACCCUAGCUGUGUUGGCUUUCUAACCCGCACCACUUAUCGUGGUGGGAGACAGUGUCAGGCGGGCAGUUUGACUGGGGCGGUCGCCUCCUAAAAGGUAACGGAGGCGCUCAAAGGUUCCCUCAGAAUGGUUGGAAAUCAUUCAUAGAGUGUAAAGGCAUAAGGGAGCUUGACUGCGAGACCUACAAGUCGAGCAGGGUCGAAAGACGGACUUAGUGAUCCGGUGGUUCCGCAUGGAAGGGCCAUCGCUCAACGGAUAAAAGCUACCCCGGGGAUAACAGGCUUAUCUCCCCCAAGAGUUCACAUCGACGGGGAGGUUUGGCACCUCGAUGUCGGCUCAUCGCAUCCUGGGGCUGUAGUCGGUCCCAAGGGUUGGGCUGUUCGCCCAUUAAAGCGGUACGCGAGCUGGGUUCAGAACGUCGUGAGACAGUUCGGUCCCUAUCCGUCGUGGGCGUAGGAAAUUUGAGAGGAGCUGUCCUUAGUACGAGAGGACCGGGAUGGACAUACCUCUGGUGUACCAGUUGUCGUGCCAACGGCAUAGCUGGGUAGCUAUGUGUGGACGGGAUAAGUGCUGAAAGCAUCUAAGCAUGAAGCCCCCCUCAAGAUGAGAUUUCCCAACUUCGGUUAUAAGAUCCCUCAAAGAUGAUGAGGUUAAUAGGUUCGAGGUGGAAGCAUGGUGACAUGUGGAGCUGACGAAUACUAAUCGAUCGAAGACUUAAUCAA